AACGUACGCUGGCGGCACGCCUAACACAUGCAAGUCGAACGCAGUAGCAAUACUGAGUGGCAGACGGGUGAGUAACAUGUGGGAAUCUGCCUUGUGGUUCAGGACAACAUUGGGAAACCGAUGCUAAUACUGGAUAAGCCCUUAAGGGGAAAGUUUUAAUGCCAUAAGAUGAGCCCGCAUUUGAUUAGUUAGUUGGUGAGGUAAUGGCUCACCAAGAAAAUGAUCAAUAGCUGAUCUGAGAGGAUGAUCAGCCACACUGGGACUGAGACACGGCCCAUACUCCUACGGGAGGCAGCAGUGGGGAAUCUUGCACAAUGGAGGAAACUCUGAUGCAGCGAUGCCGCGUGAGUGAAGAAGGCCUUUGGGUUGUAAAGCUCUUUUGUAGGGGAAGAUAAUGACUGUACCCUAAGAAUAAGGUCCGGCUAACUUCGUGCCAGCAGCCGCCGUAA
RNAcentral lists this ribosomal RNA (449 nucleotides) under uncultured bacterium. Its description in RNAcentral is "partial 16S ribosomal RNA". It matches the Rfam family "Bacterial small subunit ribosomal RNA", at positions 29 to 523 of the family's 1533-position model. The record is from RNAcentral.